GCUUCUGGGAACCGGGUUUUGUAGUCGCACACUACUAAAAUAUAUUUAUGCCCAGUGCGGCUACGUUCGACAGGACCCACUAUGUCAACCGCUAUUCUGGAAAAAGGCUCUUCCACUACAGGCAAAGACUGCGAACCCUUUGUGGCCUUGUCAAAGCAGACACGCAGACUGGGGUCGUCCCGCUGAGCGGAAGCUACAUCACUCGGUUCCUUGGAUGAUGGGCAGCCAGGAAUACCUCAGCCAGCUCCGCUGCUUCUUUGGAAGUCUUUGGCCAAUGCUCCUCUACCCAUGUAUGGAUUUUAAUAUCA
Molecule: long non-coding RNA, 308 nt
Organism: Polypterus senegalus (gray bichir)
Lineage: Eukaryota; Metazoa; Chordata; Cladistia; Polypteriformes; Polypteridae
Exons: 3
Source: RefSeq, a predicted model, not a curated record